Molecule: ribosomal RNA, 253 nt
Filed under: uncultured bacterium
Lineage: Bacteria
Description: partial 16S ribosomal RNA
Rfam family: Bacterial small subunit ribosomal RNA
Source: RNAcentral
UACGGAGGGUGCAAGCGUUAUCCGGAUUCACUGGGUUUAAAGGGUGCGUAGGCGGGCAGAUAAGUCAGUGGUGAAAUACCUGAGCUUAACUUGGGAACUGCCAUUGAUACUAUUUGUCUUGAAUGUCGUGGAGGUUAGCGGAAUAUGUCAUGUAGCGGUGAAAUGCUUAGAUAUGACAUAGAACACCAAUUGCGAAGGCAGCUGGCUACACGAAUAUUGACACUGAGGCACGAAAGCGUGGGGAUCAAACAGG